UCAGAUAGAAAGUCACUUAAGACUCCCUAAACAGAAGGAGUCUUCGCGUCCCUUCGCGCGUCCAGAAAAAACUGUCGCGCGCACAGCAAAGCUUCAAGCAAUUUUUUUAUGCACAAUCUAAUAGAUUUUUCAUACUUCAAAAGGUGUGCUAGGUGGCUCAUCAUCUGAUCUACUUGCCAUAAAAAAUAGAAGCCCAAAACAGAAGGAUUCUUAGUCCUUCUCCACGCCAC
Molecule: long non-coding RNA, 230 nt
Filed under: Elaeis guineensis (African oil palm)
Lineage: Eukaryota; Viridiplantae; Streptophyta; Magnoliopsida; Arecales; Arecaceae
Description: long non-coding RNA (EGUI_LNC080308)
Source: RNAcentral